AAGUCGUAACAAGGUUUCCGUAGGUGAACCUGCGGAAGGAUCAUUAGUGAAUAUUAGGGCGUCUACUUGUAGAGCCUGACCCUCCACUUCUAACACUGUGCAUUAUUCGGUCAUCUGGCAAAGCGUCUUCGGACGUGGAGCUGUUUGGCUAAUUUUACCAUUAAACAUUAGUACCAGUAUGUAACGAAAUAUCGAAACAAAAAAAAACUUUCAACAACGGAUCUCUUGGCUCUC
RNAcentral lists this unclassified non-coding RNA (234 nucleotides) under Microbotryomycetes sp. RNAcentral's name for it is "partial contains small subunit ribosomal RNA, internal transcribed spacer 1, and 5.8S ribosomal RNA". The stretch from base 1 to 46 matches the Rfam family "Eukaryotic small subunit ribosomal RNA", at positions 1786 to 1831 of the family's 1831-position model. Lineage: Eukaryota; Fungi; Basidiomycota; Microbotryomycetes. The record is from RNAcentral.